This is a small nuclear RNA of Mustela putorius furo (domestic ferret), 103 nucleotides long. NCBI's taxonomy places the organism in Eukaryota, Metazoa, Chordata, Mammalia, Carnivora, Mustelidae. The record is from Ensembl.
AUGCUUUCUUCAGCAGCAUAUAGAGUAAAACUGGAACAAUUCAAAGAAGAGAAUGGCCCUGUACAUGGAUGACACACAAAUUUAUGAUGUGUUCCAUUAAAAA